RNAcentral lists this ribosomal RNA (497 nucleotides) under uncultured bacterium. RNAcentral describes it as "partial 16S ribosomal RNA". It matches the Rfam family "Bacterial small subunit ribosomal RNA", at positions 28 to 507 of the family's 1533-position model. The record is from RNAcentral.
GAUGAACGCUGGCGGCGUGCCUAAUACAUGCAAGUCGAGCGAACAGACGAGGAGCUUGCUCCUCUGAUGUUAGCGGCGGACGGGUGAGUAACACGUGGAUAACCUACCUAUAAGACUGGGAUAACUUCGGGAAACCGGAGCUAAUACCGGAUAACAUGUUGAACCGCAUGGUUCAACAGUGAAAGACGGUCUUGCUGUCACUUAUAGAUGGAUCCGCGCCGCAUUAGCUAGUUGGUAAGGUAACGGCUUACCAAGGCAACGAUGCGUAGCCGACCUGAGAGGGUGAUCGGCCACACUGGAACUGAGACACGGUCCAGACUCCUACGGGAGGCAGCAGUAGGGAAUCCUCCGUAAUGGGCGAAAGCCUGACGGAGCAACGCCGCGUGAGUGAAGAAGGUCCUCGGAUCGUAAAACUCUGUUAUUAGGGAAGAACAAAUGUGUAAGUAACUAUGCACGUCUUGACGGUACCUAAUCAGAAAGCCACGGCUAACUACGUG